AGGAAACUUCAGAAUACUUACUCCGUGGCAUCAAAAUGCUCAACUCCUAGGUCUUCAUCCCAGAUAAAAAUAUAGUCAUAUGCGGCAACAAUGUCGGGAUGCAGAAACCUUUUCGCGUACCACCUUAUAAAGAGAACACUUACCUCACUGGGAUUUCCCCACAAUCUCCGGAGAUAGUAGUCGGACUCAGAAGAAACGAUAUCUGGAGGUAAUCUUUCUGCCCCUCUUGGGUUUGAUGGGACCCAAAUCUGCUCAGAACAAGGAUGACUAUCAGAUAAAAAUGUGAUUUUAUCUUAGCUUGUAUAAUCUCAAAAAUGUGUCUGCUGUUUACCUGUAAUUAAAUAUGAUGCAAAAGCAUCUAUCGCGAGUGCAACUUAAAAGUUACAUUGAAAAAAAAAGGUUGGAAGAUUAUUAUCAGUUCCUACGAAUGAUAGGCUAGAAUCUGGAAUGUUUAUGACCGCCCCCAGGGCUUUGGUCUAUCUCUAACAAUGUAGUGCAUGAUGUGUGGUUAGACGCACGUCAUUGGUUCGAACAGAGUGCCACUGGCCCUCGGGAAUUUCCUGGUUAUCAAAAACAAAUACUGCUGAUAACCAUAUAUUCUGCUCGAGCAGGGAUCUAUUGAAAAGCAUCGAUCUAUCACUCAAUGUGCAUACUUUGUGUCUUGUGUUGAUGGAAAAUAGCAAGAAUAAGUUUCUUCUGUAUUCUUGGAAGGAUGCAUAUCGAAGAUUGGUGUUUGCAC
Long non-coding RNA from Lycium ferocissimum, 739 nucleotides. RefSeq lists it as uncharacterized. The transcript has 2 exons. Lineage: Eukaryota; Viridiplantae; Streptophyta; Magnoliopsida; Solanales; Solanaceae. The record is from RefSeq and is a predicted model, not a curated record.